This is a long non-coding RNA of Daphnia magna, 846 nucleotides long. RefSeq lists it as uncharacterized. The transcript has 3 exons. The record is from RefSeq and is a predicted model, not a curated record. NCBI's taxonomy places the organism in Eukaryota, Metazoa, Arthropoda, Branchiopoda, Diplostraca, Daphniidae.
AUGUUAUAGUCUUUCUUUUCCUCUUAGUGUCACCUUAGUUAGACUUGUAGUUACUUGUCUCAUCAUUCUGGAUUUACGCAACGACGACAUUUGGUGUUGCACGUUUCUUCGCUGUUUUAUUGUCCUUUGUAUAGAGCGUAAGUUCUUCUAAUAGACCAACAUAUCUGCGAGCAAGGAUCUGCUUAGGGACAGUGAGACAUCAGCGAAUACAACAACGGAACCAUAUCCAAAUUGUAGCACAAAACUUGUACAGCUGUGAUACCUCCCAAACACCUAUGCAGUUUGGAAUGCUUGUCAGGCGAAUGCAGAUUAAUGUAAAAGAUGUCAAAUGUUAGACAUGUGGAAAAGGCCUGAUAGGAUGUGUGGGCGCCUUUGGUAACAUAUGAUUUUUCAUGUUGGCUACACCAAGGCAGUAAUAACUGUGCUGCAAACAAUCUGCAAAACAUGCUUGUCUGUCCAUCUCAGUGAUGAGAUGGCAAAUUUGUUGAGUAAAUCUGACUAAGGAAGCAAAUCUGAGAAGUGUUCCUAAAAGUAACUUGUCCCAGUGUGAUUUUCAUAGCAAUCCAUCAUUUGUUCCAAAGAUUUUUUUAUGAAGCUACAACAUAGAAGGUCUUGACCCAGUAAGCAUCAUACGGGGAGUUCCUAUGUAUGAAAGGAACUUUCUUCAGUAUUGAUACUGGGAUAAAUGACUUUGUUCUCAUCAACUUUCAGUUUAAAGAAACCAUUAACUCCUCAAAGACCACAAGUACACCUGUUACCACCACCCGGUUCCAAAUCGAUGAUUGCUUGGAUUCUAGAAAAAAACAAUGCUCGGUAAAGUAAAUUUUACAGUUGCCAACCACAAUA